UGUCCCCGCGCGAAUCGCCGCCCGCUGCGGCGGCGGUGCCUCCCCGGCAUGUGCUCCCGGGUGUGUCCCCUCGGGGACGGCCGGCGUCCCCCACCGCCGCCCCAAGAAAGGCGAGCGCCGGCCGGGGGCGAGGAGCCGGCCCGCUACCGGGCGAGCGGGGAGGAAACUCCGGCGGGCGGCAGAGGCGCUCCCGGGCGGGCGGCGGGGCGAUCCCGCCCGCGGGGCCGGGGGGAGGCCCCGCUCCGCCCGGGGUAGCGCGCAGGUAACAAGUUUCGGAGUUGAGGCUGCCGCGGCCGGGCGGGCGGCGGUCGCUCCCCCGCCGCUCCCCGCCCGGGCCGGAGGGCGGCGGCGCGGCCGGGGGCCCCCGAGCCCGCUGCCGGCGGCGGGGCGGUCGCGGGGCUUGAGGGGGAAGCAGCGUGUAACGGUCCCGGACAGUGGCGGAGUGCGGAGGCACCGCUAGGCGGAGGAGGGAGGCGGCGGCGAGGGAGGCUGCAGUGCUCGCCCGGAACCUUGUUGCCACGGGAGACGGGCGCUUUACGGCAGCGCGUUUGAACGGCGACGAGGGAAAAGUUGCACCCGCAGGGCUGAGCGAGAACCAACAGCUGCACCGCCGUGACGCCGUUCCCACCGUGCGCGAAGUCUGCCGCACUCGGGCUUUCCUGGGUCAUACUUCCCUGUUUUACAGAGAGGAGGAGAGGUAUAAAAAUUCUGUGCCUUAACGAAUAAA
Molecule: long non-coding RNA, 727 nt
Organism: Serinus canaria (Common canary)
Lineage: Eukaryota; Metazoa; Chordata; Aves; Passeriformes; Fringillidae
Exons: 3
Source: RefSeq, a predicted model, not a curated record